GGCUGAAAUUCGCCUUCAUGAAGCCGGAAUUGCUAGUAAUGGCAGGUCAGCAUACUGCCGUGAAUACGUUCCCGGGCCUUGUACACACCGCCCGUCACACCAUGAGAGUUGGAGAUACCCGAAGCCUGUGAGCUAACAAACGAGGCAGCAGUCGAAGGUAGAAUCAAUGAUUGGGGUGAAGUCGUAACAAGGUACC
This 196-nucleotide ribosomal RNA is filed under the name uncultured bacterium. RNAcentral describes it as "partial 16S ribosomal RNA". It matches the Rfam family "Bacterial small subunit ribosomal RNA", at positions 1303 to 1500 of the family's 1533-position model. The record is from RNAcentral.